AACUUAAAGUGAUUUUAUCACAUUUUUGACUCCACAAAUCAAUAUUUUUAUUAAAUUAUUUAAGU
RNAcentral lists this transfer RNA (65 nucleotides) under Bassarona dunya. Its description in RNAcentral is "tRNA-His". Lineage: Eukaryota; Metazoa; Arthropoda; Insecta; Lepidoptera; Nymphalidae. The record is from RNAcentral.